Molecule: non-coding RNA, 768 nt
Organism: Peromyscus maniculatus bairdii (prairie deer mouse)
Lineage: Eukaryota; Metazoa; Chordata; Mammalia; Rodentia; Cricetidae
Source: RefSeq, a predicted model, not a curated record
GAACACCUCCGCUGUAGCCAAGGAGACUGCCGUUAACCAAUCAUGCAUUCCGAUUACAAUUUUGGCAUUUAGUAUUAAGAACUGCAACACCCAGCAUAUGCUUCCUGCCACGCAUGUCCCCCACACUCGCGAGCAUAAAGCCUCCUCUCCAGUCACACCAUAGGAUGACCAUGGUUCUCUCCAAGCUCAAACCUAACCAGCCCAGACUCCCACGCCCCCAGAAAAGAUCAGAUCCGGUCACAGCAGAGUAACAGCAAUUACGCAGGGUCUGCGCGUCACGCGGGCACACUCCACAGGCCUCACAUCCCCCGGAUGCUCCCCAGGGUGAUGGCGCUGGAAAGGAGCCUUCCAUCCUCCGGGCCAAAGGGAAGGUUCGAUGACACAGGUGGCCCCACGAGCUCUGGCAGCAAGCGAUCUUCUUUCUGUCCAGCCUCCACGCUGUCUUCCCAGGCGCUCUGGCGGCCAAGGGCUUUCCCAGCAUGGACGCUCUGCCCUGAAGACAAGCUUUCUUCUCCCCCUGGGCCCUCACAUUGCAAAGUAUCUCAGGGAAGCUACUAUCCAGGUCUCGCCUGUUCACGGUCGUCACACUCCUUGGUUGUUACUGCCUGCUGGACCUCGUGAAGACAGCCCCUGGUCUUUUCUCUCCCAGACUGUGGCAUCUUGAGAAGGUCUUGGGAGAAGCAAGAGGCGGCCCUGGCUCUGAAGUGAUGCUCAUUGGCGUUCUGGAUUCAGACUGGAGGCAUCACACACUGGGCUGCCUGCUGACCU